This is a long non-coding RNA of Rhododendron vialii, 783 nucleotides long. RefSeq lists it as uncharacterized. NCBI's taxonomy places the organism in Eukaryota, Viridiplantae, Streptophyta, Magnoliopsida, Ericales, Ericaceae. The transcript is spliced from 5 exons. The record is from RefSeq and is a predicted model, not a curated record.
CAGGUCUCGCUUUAUUUUCUUCUACCCUUUUCGUCUCUGUUGAUAUGGGAUUCUUCUCGAUCACGGUAAGCCUGUGAGCUAGGUCUCUUUGCGAUGCUUCUGAUGUGAUUAAGUUCAGUUGUUGGAGGUCCUUUUACCUUCUCCCUCGCAUAGGGUCGGUUGUGAUUUGGGUAACUGAGAUCAAGGAUUCGAGCACGGGAGAAGGUUUGGGAAUUUGAUCAGGAUCACCAAAGAUGGCUCGCAGUUGCUGAGUUUGCUUUACCUGAGGAAAAGGGCAAUCCGAUUUAUGCUGUUGCUUAGGCACCAAAUAUUUUCAGGCCAUACGAGGUAAUAGCAACUGGGACUCACAAGCGAAUUGCAAUAUGGCACCUUGGAUUCAACCCCAAUCUUGAUGGAAAGCUCUAACGGAAAAGGUUUGGAAGAUGGAGUUGAACAUCGGUGGAAUGACACUAGCAACCACCGGAGGUGAUGGCGUGGUGAGUUUGUGACAGUCUAACUUAAAAGGCGUUUGUCUACAUGCCACAGCGACAUGGAAGGAGAUGAAUCCGUGAAGCCUCUGAAACACAAAGACAAGAAAGAAUAGUGCUCCCACCUAAUGCCAUCACGGAAUCUUAGCAAAAUAGACAUCAAGGCAAAUUUUUGGUGUGAAUAAUUUGCAAGUUACCACUAUGUCAAUUUUCAAUGCAUAGGCAUCAUCUAGCAUAUGUACAAAUCUUUUGCUUUAGCUACUGAACUUUGAAAUUAUUCAAGUACUUGUAAAUUUUGAUAAAUCACUUUUGCGCA